RNAcentral lists this ribosomal RNA (253 nucleotides) under uncultured bacterium. RNAcentral's name for it is "partial 16S ribosomal RNA". It matches the Rfam family "Bacterial small subunit ribosomal RNA", at positions 524 to 776 of the family's 1533-position model. The record is from RNAcentral.
UACGUAGGGGGCUAGCGUUGUCCGGAAUCAUUGGGCGUAAAGAGCGUGUAGGCGGUCCGGUAAGUCCGCUGUGAAAGUCGGGGGCUCAACCCUCGAAUGCCGGUGGAUACUGUCGGGCUAGAGUACGGAAGAGGCGAGUGGAAUUCCUGGUGUAGCGGUGAAAUGCGCAGAUAUCAGGAGGAACACCGGUGGCGAAGGCGGGUCUCUGGGCCGAAACUGACGCUGAGGCGCGAAAGCUAGGGGAGCAAACGGG